Non-coding RNA from Phoenix dactylifera (date palm), 7430 nucleotides. The record is from RefSeq and is a predicted model, not a curated record. Lineage: Eukaryota; Viridiplantae; Streptophyta; Magnoliopsida; Arecales; Arecaceae.
UUUUAUUUGUGUUACGAAUUCCAACUUUAUUAUUAUUUACUCAAGAGCUUUCAAGCGCUGGGCGAAAUUGAGAACGGGCUCCAAAAACACUCGCGCCCAGCGAGCGUGGGGCGCUCUCACUCUGCCUCCCCUUUCCCCCCUGUUUAAAGUUUCAACGACCGUCAUCCGCGUUGGAGCCCUGGCGACCCCGACGAGCCUCUCCGGUGACCCGAUGGGACGUGUACACGGCACUGCGUCCCUCCCUCUCUCUGAUGCUCUCUCUGCUCGGUUGUCGUUGGUCGGUCCCUCUCGCUGCUCUCCCUCUCCGGUACCUGUCGCCACCUCGUUCCCGAUCUAGUUUCUCCGCCCCCCGCUCCUCUCCUUCAACGACGGUAGCAAAACCCUAAUUGCAAGGCUUCUAGUUCUCAUCUUCUUAGUUACCUGUUGGUCGUCUUCAUGACCCCUAAUUUCGGUUUCCUUCAGCAUGAACCCGAAAAUUGAUGGUUUGCGUUGCAUAGUUUCUUCGGAUUUGCAUAAAUCUCAUAAUCCGUUGUUGUUCUGAUUGUUAAUUACUGAAUAUAGAUGAUUCACAAAUAUUGCUUAAUUAUUCCAGCAAAAUAACUUUAUAACUGGUUCGCUUGGAAAUUGCAAAUUAUCUGAAUCUUUCUUAAAACUUUAUACGGAGCGUGGAGAGCUAGCCAACGCCGCCGCCACCUCCUUGCUAGAGAAAGACGGUGGAGCCCAUUCUCUCACUCCCUGUCUGUGUGUGUCGGCGGUAUUUCCUCUCUCUCUCUCUCUAGCUUUUCUUCUCCUUCCUUUUAGUUGGUGUAGUUUCUAGGGAUCAUUGACGGUAUUUUUUCUUUUUUCUUUUUUUUCUUUUUUUCUUUUUGAUGAAAAGACCAUCGAGGGGUUCGUUCGGUGUCUUCGAGCGAUUUUUUCUUUUCGUAACCAAAACAGGGUUGCUUCAUUUGUUUUGAUCUCAUCAACCCCAGAGUUUUCUCUUUCUAUUUGGUGGAAGGUUCUCCUGGAAAUCUAGAAUGCAUUGGACGAUUUCCUUGUCUAGUUUCUUGAGUGGUUAGUCAUUGUCCUUGCGCAGCUGGGCUUGCUUUGUUCGAUAAAUCCCUCCUAUAUCAGGUAGAAUUUCAAACUGAGUGGAUAAUUUUCUCUACAAGUAUGGCUAAGUCAUUACCUAACAGCAUGGUUACCGGCAUCUUCAUGUCUACUCCUUUGUUUAAGUCAAAGGUAAGAAUACUUACUUCACACCUUGUUAUUUUACUGCCCUCCUUAUUUGCUUAUAGGAGUGCUUAACUUUUUCUACAAUAAAUCAUAUACCAAAAUCCUGAAAAUCGAUUUGCAUGUUACGAAAAAAGAUGAUCAUUGAUUCUGGUUCAUGAGUCAAACUGAGCAUUGUUUCUCAUUGCCCCUUUCAGAUGUUCAACUCAUACUGAAGAUCUUAAUUUGUAAGCGCCAGUCCUAGCACGUGCUAGAUGUAUUUAAACCACCCUAGCUUGCUUUCGCACUUUCUAGCCAAGUGACAUUUCUGAGAUUCUUCUAAUGUACUUAUCUCAAAAUCUUAAUGCAUGUCCAUUAUCAUGCCUUUUCUGUAACAUUUAUCUGCUCAUGUACCUUCUGCACUGCCUGCAUUCAUAUUCAUACAAUAUAUCUGGUCCCAUAGCUAAUAUUGACCUUUUUUUAUCUUAAUAUAUGUGAUGGUCACAGACUCCAUGCUAUUUAAACCAAACAGGGGGCAUCUAUGUUUUUUGUCCAAUUAUUGUGAAAAUAUUUCAAGUUUCUAAAAACAAUUUGCUUGUGGAUCCUCUUGUAGUUCGGUUUACUUUCUCUAUUCUAUUAAAGUGGCAUAUACAUUCUGUGCUAUUAGAUUGUUGAUUGUUUUUUUUUUCUUUGAAGUUCCCUUGUACACUUAAUUGAGUGCUGACUUAAAGUACUUGAUUUUUUCCCCCAAGAGAAUGAUUAGAAAGACUCCAAAGUCUAAUCCAAUUCAUUAAGAGUAUGGAUAGACAGCAUUACAAAUCAAAAACACCAUCCCUGCCUGUACAAGGGGUUAAAGUUCUUGAAACUAUGACUUUGUCUUGGAUAUUAACCAUGAAAAUAUAUUUAGCUAGUGUGAAAACUAUGGCUUUAUAAUUGACGCCGGUGGAGGUUUCUGUCAUCAGGAAUGCACUGAUCUCUAUGUGGUUUAUAUGAUUGCAAUCACUCACUCUCUAGGCAUUUACAUGGUCUUUCAUCCCAAAUCUAAUAAGUUCUGUUGGUAAUCAAUAACAACAGUAGAAAAUCAAAAGUGUGUGAAUUGGUCCACCUUUUGUUGAUUUUCCAUCUAUAGUGGGAUGAAGUCAAAUUGGUUUUACAUAGAGAUAUUUUAUUAAAAACCAAUAAAGAGCCCUGAUGAGGAACCUUGCUAAAUGUCCCCAUGGAGAAAUCGAAAAUUUAGGUUGUGGGACAUAUAAUUUACCUAAUUUAUUAGUGUGCCACCCAAAUGAUUGUGCCUAAGGAUGAAGUGAGAUAAAAAUCUUACGAAACAGAUGCAGUGUCAAUUGAAAUACAAAACAAUAUGGAAUAACCUGGCUUAUCUUGACAAAGAAAUCUUUUCUUGUUCAUACUCAAAACUCAUGUAGGCAUAUUAUGUACUUAAUGCAUACUUAGGGUAUAUUUGGAUUUGGUUGCAACUAAAAUUGCUCGGAAAACUUGUUUUCUUUGAAAAAUCUUGUUUUCCAUUUAUUUUUCGCAUUGGAAAUUCAACAAAUUUGGAAAGUUUAUAACUAGUUUUCUGGGAAACUUUUGCCUUUCCAUGGAUAAGUCCUACUUUUCCCUUUCCUUUUUCAUGAUUUUCCUUGCAGCCAAACAUACCCUUAAUGGAGAGCUUUUCUUACUGUUCCAGCACUCAGUAGUUAUGCAUCUUUAUUCCGAUUUUUCUUUUGUAUAUCUGCUCUAUAAUAAACUAUCAAACUUGUGAAUAGGCUGCAUCACUACUGGGAUUUCAGCAAGUCAUGAAAUAUUCUUCAACAUUAUGUUCUUGACCAAACAUAUAUUAUGUUGCUUAAAAAUACUGGUACCUCUGAGGUUGUAGGAUAUCAAGGAAGUUCUUGUCAUGGUUUAUAUGAAGGGACUUCCUGAUGCUCCUCCGUGCGGAUUCAGUGCGUUUGCAGUGAGUGCAAAACUCUUAGUUACUGCAUGCCAGACUGACUUUUGUGAGAUUGAAGUACUUCUAUCUUUGAAGGGUGUUGAAAUGUUAGCUUCUGCGCGUUAUGCUUUUCCAUAUGGUUAUACAGGAGUCCUGUUAGUGCAAGAUAUAUUUUGAAACAUCCUGAGCUCAAGGAGGAUGUGAAAGCCUGCUCUUAAGUAUCUUUUUUUUCGUGAAGUCUCUCUCUCUCUCUCUCUCUCUCUCUCUCUCUCUCUCUCUCUCCAAUCUAAAUUAUUUGGAUCUUUUAAGUUUUGGACUGCUGGAGCAAAAAAGUACAAUAGUACACAUAAUUUCAGUGAUAUCAUAAGGCUAAAGAAAUUAUAGGUUUCAAAAAGUUGCAAUAUAACAUUAAAUCAUGGAAAGUUCAAGUAGAAAACUUUCCUACCAAGUCAACAAAUAAAACCUAAUACUAGAGUUAUGCCUAGCUAUCUAAAAAAUUGUAUGGACCAUAAAUCUGCUUGCCAAUCUAAUAGACAGACCACCCACAGAUGUGAUUAGUUGACAAAGUAGCUUACAUGUUAGCUGAACAGCAGCAGAUAGUUGAUGAUUGUACUUUUGGCUACUAGGACAUUGUGGUGUGUCUUACCUGUUGAACAGGCUGUGUUGGGUCCUGGUCUCUCUCUCUCUCACACACACAUAGAGUACGGGUGCGCGUUCAUGUGCGCAUGCAUGUAAGCAUGCACAUGAGUAUAUGUGUGAGCUUGCAGGCGUGCUUGUGUUAAAAGUGUCACUUCUAUCUAUUUAGAUACUAUCAGAUAUGUGAAUGAUCAGUCCACUGCAUUUAUUCAGUUUGUACUUGCAAAUAGUGGCAAUGUGUUUGGAAAUAAAUGUGCACUUCAAGAGAUAUCUUCAAAGUGAUGGCAUGGUCGUAGGUUUUUAGAUGCUUAUUAUAAUGAUGAUUAAUUUAUGGUACAGUAACAUCUUUUUUCAGAUUUUUCAUAUCAAUAUUAUAAAUGCCAAUUGUUUGUGGAUCUCUCAUCUCUAGUUGUUUAUUUUAUAUAAUUUCUUAUUCUUCUUUAUUAUUAAUUUUAUGCAUUGAGAUGCUUUCUUUAUGAACCUACCAAAGAACAAACUAAAAGGUUUCUGCAGAUGCUGUUGCCAUUGAAGUGAAGGAUUCGGUAUUUCUGCGGUAUUUUUUUUCUACGUUCCUCAAAUCAUUCCUUAUUUGUUUUCCUAAUGCAGCCAACCUAUGUUAUAUAGGCAACUAAAUGACAACUCCAUGAUGAGGCCCACUGAAAUUCCAAUAUAAGAGAAAAGAAAAAAAUAUAUUCAAAUAUCCCUACUUCAUUGAUUUCUGACUGCUAGAUCAGAUCAAUAAGCUGCUUUUUGAUUUAUUCUUUUUAACUCAGAUAAAUUGUACUCUUUCUAUUUGUGCAGCAAUUGGCCUACAUGUUCUCAGAUUUUUAUAAAGGGGGAGUUCAUUGGGGGAUCAGACAUUGUUCUUAAUGUGUAUCAGAAAGUUGAACUCAAGGAAUUGCUGAUGGAGACUGAGGCAUAAAACUCUUUCCAACUCAUCGGGGUGUUUUUGCGAUGGUAAUUUGUUCCAGUUUUAUUAUUGCUUGACAAUCCAACAUGAAUCUUCCAGAUAUUCUUUUUCAUCCAAAAUAUGACUUCGGAUUCUAUGUUGGAUAUUUUUGAUUCAAGAUAUUGCUAAGCAUCAAUGUAUAUAUACUCCUUGCUAUCAGAGCAGCCUUAGACCUGCUGCUCUCAGCUAAAGCCCUGAACAGCAUGCUUGGACCUGGCUGCUGCUGCUAAUCAUUGGGACGUUCCAUGCAAGGAUGUCAAGGACGCCAAGUGUUCAGGCCCGAUGCCUCCUAAGUUGUAUGCUAGAUUUUAUUAGGUCUUCCCAUAAUUGGAGCCAACAAAUUUCUUACCUUGAAGAGGAUAGCUGCGAACCGUGCCAGAGUAAAUCAAAAUGACAAGUGUGGUAGAAUUGAGAUCAACAUGCGAGUUGGAUUAAAUGUGACAAACUGAAAGCUUCUAAUCUCGCUCAGUCCUACACAAAAUUAAGAAAAUGGGGAAAUGACUAAUGGCUAGGACACAUGGGUGCUCCAAUUCUCCGGAAAGUCUCUCAUUGCCACCAAAAUUAAAUGCACGAGGCGGUAACAGGUCAGAGCGUGUCCUGUUCGAUCUCCCUAAAUGGAACAAACUAUAGGAUCGGGCAUCCUGAACUCUGAACCUGGAGAAAGGACAGUGUGCAAACCUCUGGGUCAUGCCCUGGUCGAUGAUACAUAUGCCACUGUGAUUCUCGUGGCGGGGAGACUGAUUUCUGGAAAGACUGAUUUCUUUCUCGUUAGAAAUAGGCACGCGGGAGACAUCGUGGAAAACACAUGGAGAACCAACCAUUGCAGACUUCUUCAGAAUUUCGUAUGAUCAAUGGAGUAGCCAGCCAGCGGGGAUCUCUGCUGAAGCUUGGAUUUCGGUGAUCUUGCAUAGGUUUGAUGUGUACUCCCUUCAUGGUUUGGGAGUUGGGAUGCACAACAUGCACCAUGGGCCGGAGCAUCUCUUUCACGUCCUGAGGGUCCAACGUUGCAUAACCGAGGCAGAUAUGUCCGGCCGAUACCCAAGUGUGUCAUGGGCGGUUGGCAUGUAUAGUGGUUCCAUGAGUGGCUGAUCCGAUCUGAUCUGUGUUCGUCCAGUUGUGUUCGACGACAUAUUGAGCGAGGAGUAGGUUUCUGCGCCAGUAGAUUUCCCAAACUGACUGACGACAAGAUAGAUGGAUACAUCGACCGAUGUCCGGAUGAGAUCCAGAUUGCAUGCAUUUGGUCUCAUUCCCUUUCCAAAUCACCAUUCCAUUUGGCCUCAUUCUAUUUGUGAUAUCUGCAUCGUAUCCAGUAUCUCGCCGGUUGCCAGGCUGGGGAGUUGGGGUUGGUGAAGGAGCUCACCGGCUCUCGACUGAUGGCGGUGGAUUCCGGCGGAUUCCAGCAAGAGAAGAGUAAUUAAUGACUCUUGAAGUAGAGAAACAGGGCAAAGGGAAAACUAGAGAGCGGAGAGGCUUCAGGCAGCAGCAGUUGAUCGAGGUGGCGUAGCAACCACCGGGGACGAUGGGGAAGCGGAGAUCAGCGAUGGAUCAUGCGGGGGGAAAGAGGGGACUAAAUCGAGCGAUCGAGGAGAAAAAGGUGGAAGAUAAGGUCGGUAGUUCCGAGGUUUGUCUCGGCCGUUCGACGGCUGAGGGUGGUUCCAACGGCUGCCGGCAGUUCUCACUGGCUUCAAGACCCCACACCGGCCACACCUCGCACCUCCGAUCGGAAGCUCGGACAGGAGAUCGGGAUUUCCCUAUUCCCAUCUUCUUUUUUUUUAUUUGUAUUUUAGACUGACAUCUGUUGGGUGUGCCGACUUCAGUCCAAUAUGGGCCUAUUUUGGGCCGGCUAUCCACAUAGAAACACAAGAUCCGCAGAAUUCUUGUUCUAGUUAUCAAUUUCCACUAGAUAUGGGAGCACAUUUAAUUGGCUCUCGACUGCAGCGAAUCAAGAUGAUGUUAGAAGUGUGCCGUCAGAACAUGCUGACGGCUCCAUCGAGUCAGCCCAGAUCGACCCUAGAAAGAAAAGGCAAAGUGUGCAUAUUGCUUCACCUAAGUUGGAGUACAUUUUGUACCUGAUUUUUUCCCUCCUGUAAUCCUGUUAUGUACUUGAGAUGAUCAGGAAGGAAACGACUAUGCAAGAGGACAGCCAGCAUUGCUCCUGCAGGAAGUCUCAACUGCUCGAAACUGCUGUGACUGCUUCAGGAUCAUUUUGGGCCGAAGCCCGUCGACGCCAGGACUGGUACAGCACACGCGAGAGUGAAGACACAGCGACUGCUACCGUGACUGAUGCAUUUGCUCCCGGGAUUAUCCUGCCUGUCACCAAUUUCCGAAGCCUUGGUAGGGAGAGGAUUCCUCGUUAAUUAUGUCAGCCGGAGAAGUUGCACUUUACUCCCAUGAGUCCAAACUGAUUGCCCUCAUAUUCUGCGGGAUAUUAGGAAAAUGAUAACAACCUCUGGCAGGCGUAGAGGAGGAUGCAGCUGCAUGCAGGAAGUCCAUAAGAAUUUUUAGGGUAUGGCAAAAGUGGCUCCAGAAUUAAGUCUAUCAAAUGCAAUAUUUUUGGAGUUUAGGGUUGUGAUCUUUGACAUUUCAGAAUGAAAGUCGAAAUUGCCAAAUUCGAUUAUACCUCUCUCUAAUGCAACAGUAUGUAGUCUAAUAGCUGACGCUGUAUAUCCCUGGUUAAACCGAGAACAGACGUUCGUUUGGUUUGGUUUAAGUUUAUUUUUAACCAUC